AGGUAAGCUACUAAGAGCGAAUGGUGGAUGCCUUGACUGGUAAAGGCGAUGAAGGACGUACUAGACUGCGAUAAGCUACGGGGAGCUGUCAAGAAGCUUUGAUCCGUAGAUUUCCGAAUGGGGCAACCCAAUGUAUAGAGAUAUACAUUACCUAUAUAGGAGCGAACGAGGGGAAUUGAAACAUCUUAGUACCCUCAGGAAAAGAAAUCAAUAGAGAUUGCGUCAGUAGCGGCGAGCGAAAGCGCAAGAGGGCAAACCCAGUGCUUGCACUGGGGGUUGUAGGACUGCAAUGUGCAAGAGGUAAGUUUAGCAGAACAUUCUGGAAAGUAUAACCAUAGAGGGUGAUAGUCCCGUAUGCGAAAAACAAACCUUAGCUAGCAGUAUCCUGAGUAGGGCGGGACACGAGGAAUCCUGUCUGAAUCCGGGUCGACCACGAUCCAACCCUAAAUACUAAUACCAGAUCGAUAGUGCACAAGUACCGUGAGGGAAAGGUGAAAAGAACUGAGGUGAUCAGAGUGAAAUAGAACCUGAAACCAUUUGCUUACAAUCAUUCAGAGCCCUAUGUAGCAAUACAGGGUGAUGGACUGCCUUUUGCAUAAUGAGCCUGCGAGUUGUGGUGUCUGGCAAGGUUAAGCAAACGCGAAGCCGUAGCGAAAGCGAGUCUGAAUAGGGCGCUUAGUCAGAUGCUGCAGACCCGAAACGAAGUGAUCUAUCCAUGAGCAAGUUGAAGCUAGUGUAAGAACUAGUGGAGGACUGAACCCAUAGGCGUUGAAAAGCCCCGGGAUGACUUGUGGAUAGGGGUGAAAGGCCAAUCAAACUUCGUGAUAGCUGGUUCUCUCCGAAAUAUAUUUAGGUAUAGCGUUGUGUCGUAAUAUAAGGGGGUAGAGCACUGAAUGGGCUAGGGCAUACACCAAUGUACCAAACCCUAUCAAACUCCGAAUACCUUAUAUGUAAUCACAGCAGUCAGGCGGCGAGUGAUAAAAUCCGUCGUCAAGAGGGAAACAACCCAGACUACCAGCUAAGGUCCCUAAGUCUUACUUAAGUGGAAAACGAUGUGAAGUUACUUAAACAACCAGGAGGUUGGCUUAGAAGCAGCCAUCCUUUAAAGAAAGCGUAAUAGCUCACUGGUCUAGUGAUUUUGCGCGGAAAAUAUAACGGGGCUAAAGUAAGUACCGAAGCUGUAGACUUAGUUUACUAAGUGGUAGGAGAGCGUUCUAUUUGCGUCGAAGGUAUACCGGUAAGGAGUGCUGGAGCGAAUAGAAGUGAGCAUGCAGGCAUGAGUAGCGAUAAUUAAUGUGAGAAUCAUUAACGCCGUAAACCCAAGGUUUCCUACGCGAUGCUCGUCAUCGUAGGGUUAGUCGGGUCCUAAGUCGAGUCCGAAAGGGGUAGACGAUGGCAAAUUGGUUAAUAUUCCAAUACCAACAUUAGUGUGCGAUGGAAGGACGCUUAGGGCUAAGGGGGCUAGCGGAUGGAAGUGCUAGUCUAAGGUCGUAGGAGGUUAUACAGGCAAAUCCGUAUAACAAUACUCCGAGAACUGAAAGGCUUUUUGAAGUCUUCGGAUGG
RNAcentral lists this ribosomal RNA (1563 nucleotides) under Campylobacter jejuni. RNAcentral's name for it is "partial 23S ribosomal RNA". It matches the Rfam family "Bacterial large subunit ribosomal RNA", at positions 1 to 1588 of the family's 2925-position model. Lineage: Bacteria; Pseudomonadati; Campylobacterota; Epsilonproteobacteria; Campylobacterales; Campylobacteraceae. The record is from RNAcentral.